Molecule: ribosomal RNA, 253 nt
Filed under: uncultured bacterium
Lineage: Bacteria
Description: partial 16S ribosomal RNA
Rfam family: Bacterial small subunit ribosomal RNA
Source: RNAcentral
UACGUAGGGGGCUAGCGUUGUCCGGAAUCAUUGGGCGUAAAGCGCGUGUAGGCGGCCUUGUAAGUCCGUUCUGAAAGCCCGGGGCUCAACCCCGGGAGGCGGAUGGAUACUGCAAGGCUCGAGUCCGGAAGAGGCGAGUGGAAUUCCCGGUGUAGCGGUGGAAUGCGCAGAUAUCAGGAGGAACACCAACGGCGAAGGCAGCUCGCUGGGACGGUACUGACACUGAGGCGCGAAAGCGUGGGGAGCGAACAGG